This 70-nucleotide ribozyme is filed under the name unclassified sequences. RNAcentral's name for it is "pistol ribozyme". It matches the Rfam family "Pistol ribozyme". The record is from RNAcentral.
AGUGGUUGCAGCCACUAUAAACAGGGCUUCAAGCUGCAAGCGUUCCCACUGUCAACGGUGGGAGGUAGUC